Molecule: transfer RNA, 84 nt
Filed under: Bradyrhizobium sp. DOA9
Lineage: Bacteria; Pseudomonadati; Pseudomonadota; Alphaproteobacteria; Hyphomicrobiales; Nitrobacteraceae
Description: tRNA-Pro
Source: RNAcentral
CUUCUCGUACAGCACGUCGGCGCUGUCGCAGGUUGGACCUGCGAGCACGCACGGGGUCAUGUCCGCGCCGUCGUGACGGGUGCG